UCCCAUUACUGAUGGGGCCCAGUAGUUGAGAUCUGAGUGGUGGCAGGUGCUAUACAAACAGAAGGAUCUUGAGGAAGCACAAAGGGUUAAGGCGUAUGAAAACAGGAAACACGUCUGCCUUUUAUUAGGCGAGCUGUUCUCAGCUGCAGAAGUGGGAGGAAAUUGCAGUUUUGGAAGAAAACCCAUCCAUACAUGCAAACUCCCGACAGAGAUGUGGCCCAGGACUACAGACCAGUAAAAGACACCACUAAGUAUGUCGCCGUGCACCCUAGAACACCUUAAAAAACACUAUGGGGAAUAUAUCAUUCCAAUUUAUCCAAAAUCAACAGCAUUUAGUGCAGUGUUAUGAAAAUCUGGCAGUUUGUGUAAAUGCAUAGCAUCCACUCAUGUUUGAUGUAGGAAAACUGCAAUAUCACUUAAUCCUGGUAUGAAAAGGUCAAAUCUGUUUUGCUCUUUUUUUUUAACGACGGAUUCUGGAAAGUACCUAUCUCACUGGAGCCUGCGUACCUUUACAAAAGCACCCGAAUGGAGGCGCCGUGUAGUUCCCCCGUUCCGAAGUCCUUGUGACCGGCGCGGACUUGCCGCGUGGAACCGAGAGCUCCGCUCGCACCUCGCCGGGCGUGCGGUUCUGCUGAAACUCUGCAACAGGGAAGCAGCGCGUUUCACCGGGUCCUCGGUGUGGCUGAGCGAGAGCGGGUAAAGGGUGCUCUUGUGAACACGGAUGUGUCUCAUCUUUUCAGUAUGAUUGCAUAUCGUAUAUUUGUCAAGAGAUACCUUUCUCUAACAUCCAGGCAACACAGCGAAUGCUUGGAGGAUUUUGGUGUAAUGACCACAAAUCUAGAUUUGUAUGAAUUGUUAUCCUGCCUGGUUGCGGCACGGCCGUGCGGUGCUUGGUAUUGCUUCCUUGCGGUACUACUUGUGCUUCUGGGGUGCAGGACCAUCUUCAAUAUCUGCUUUUUUCUUUAGUUGAAACACAUUCUGAAUAUUUGUCAGUGGAAGUCCACAGUGAUUUACACUUAUUGCUAUAUUAGACUUAUAUAUGAUCGGAAUAUGUGAUUAUUUCUGACCGCAAAAUAUACGUCUGACAAAUACUGUGUACAUUCAUCUUACAACAUACAUUACAAAUACAAUUUUUACCAUUGUUUUUAGAUUAUUUGGGGUGUGACACGAUUUCACAAUAAAAGGGACAGUUUAUCUUGUUUUAGUUUUUCCACAAAUACCAAAUAUAGUCUGGCUAACUUCCCCAAACCACUAUUACUAAUUACAUUCCCCUCCUUUCUUACUGCCCUGUCACUGAGAGAGCUGUGUCUUUUCACUUCAGGUGUCUUAAAAUCCACUUUUCCUCAGAAAUGAGCUGCCACAAAUGCAGAGAGAGUGUGGACUUUCAGAGCUGAAAGUUUGGAGGCCGCCUGUGCACACCUUUGUUACCUGAUACACCAGAAGAUUUCACUAGGUGUGCGUGUUUCAGUUGGCCUGAAAUUAAGGUGUCAGACGAGAUGUGUCUUCAGUUGUUGCUUGCGCUCUGAGUGACAGACCUCUGUGAUAGCAUGACUCAUCACACGGGGCUUUCCCUGGUGAAUAUCUCACAAUCCAAACAUGGACUCUGUUAGCUUCAGUGACAUACAUUCAGCUAGGACAGCUUCAGACUUCAAAAAGCUUUCUGUCCUCUGCAGUGGCUGCAGUCACCAACUGCUUCUUUUCCUCUGUUUUUUUAUCAGGUAUUGGUUUUUUUUUUUUACUUCCUUCAGCAUCUUAAGAUCAGUUAACUUCAGGCUGUGACUGAGGUUGAGGAGAUAGACUGCAGAGUAAGCUUAUCAGAGCUACCUGUUCUGUGUGUUUUUUUUUCUUUACUUUUAAAUAACAACUUGCUCUGCGAAGGACAAACCAAAAGACUGUUUUUUAAGAAUGUGGUCACACGUUGAAGGCAGAGGCUCAUUUUUGAAGGGUACCAAACUAAAAUGGCCGUUAUAUUAUGGCUUAUGUGGCACAGUGACACUGGUUAGCAUUGCUGUCUCUCUGCACUGAGGCCCUGGGUUAAAUUCCUGGGGUUCUAUG
Molecule: long non-coding RNA, 2055 nt
Organism: Lepisosteus oculatus (spotted gar)
Lineage: Eukaryota; Metazoa; Chordata; Actinopteri; Semionotiformes; Lepisosteidae
Source: RefSeq, a predicted model, not a curated record